Strigops habroptila (Kakapo) is the source of this 928-nucleotide long non-coding RNA. RefSeq lists it as uncharacterized. Lineage: Eukaryota; Metazoa; Chordata; Aves; Psittaciformes; Psittacidae. The record is from RefSeq and is a predicted model, not a curated record. The transcript has 3 exons.
UACAUCAGAGAUACAUAAUAAAUCACAUUUCUGUCAACAGGUAACACAGGUAACAGGAGUACCACUCCACCAAACUGAAAUUAUAUCUGUUUCAUGUUGAUAGGCUUAUGAUUCCUGCAGCCACAUCCAGAGUUGCCUUCUGAGGAUGUUUCUGCUGCAGUGAUACAGGCUGACACAGAAAGGGAUAAUGUGAAGAGCAGCAUUAAUAUGAGCAGGAGAACUGCGAAGUGCAAACAGGAAAUACCCUUUUCUGGUUUUAAGUCAUUUAUGUUAGUCUGUUAAAAAAGCUAUGACUGAGAAAAUGAAUUCUUUUUUAUUCCUGAACUGCAAAAUUACACGUCUCAAAAUAGUAAUAGAAAGACAGCAGUCCGGUUUGAUAGGCAAAUUAAUGGGAUUGAAAUAUCAGCCACAUGCUGUUCAUUUGGUCUGUUUUUUUCCAAACUGAAAUAGAUAAAUCUAUUUUGAAUUUUAAAAUCCUUUCACACUGGUUUAGAAAGCUGCUGGCAAUCCUGUAAAUGCUGUUUAAAAUGUUUUGGAUUACAGUGGAAACCUGUGUAUUUUUUCAGCUGAGAAGCUAUCUCCUUACCUGCUGAUUGCUGAUGAGGAUGCUGAUGACUGAAGAACAUCCAUCACUUGAAAACUGACAUUGAGACAUGUCACUAUAAUCUAUUAAAGGACUCCCACAGGAUAAAGAUAAAUUAAAAUAACUGUCAGGCUUCCCCAAGCAAUCCCUAGGCAUCAUCUGAACCCUUGAAGUCAGCAAAGCCAAGCUACUGUGAAAAGCGGUGAUUUGAAUUUCCCUACAAAACCUUUAUGUCAGUACCUAAGGUGUGGUACAUCAAAGCCCAAGAUACUCUCGGGUGGAGACAAUUCAUGCUGUAAAUCAGAAAAAAAAAAAAAAAAAAAAAAAAAAGAGAGAGUUCUAUAG